GUGCCUGUAGCUCAGCCGGAUAGAGUGUUGGGCUACGAACCAAAAGGACAGGGGUUCGAAUCCCUUCAGGCACGCCA
This 77-nucleotide transfer RNA is filed under the name Clostridia bacterium. RNAcentral's name for it is "tRNA-Arg". It matches the Rfam family "tRNA". Rfam says of the family: Transfer RNA (tRNA) molecules are approximately 80 nucleotides in length. Their secondary structure includes four short double-helical elements and three loops (D, anti-codon, and T loops). The record is from RNAcentral. Lineage: Bacteria; Bacillati; Bacillota; Clostridia.